AUUUAUUUUGCUUUAUUUUUCUGACUAAUAUUCUUAUCUCUUAUUUCCUUAAGUAACACACUAUGUACAAUCUCCAAAUUGACAUUCAGUCACUAAGGUGACUAGAUGAAUACAAAAAAAAACAAACUGUAUUUCUCCUACAAUGUUCUCACAUCAUGUUUUUGACACCAGGUAUGUGAGACUCAUUCUAUAUGAAGCAAGAAAUUCUGCAGCUGUGGCCACCAGCUAGGCGCCCUCUAAAUCAGUUCAGUUAUGGCAUUCCUUAUUUGGAGAUAACAUUGAACCUAUGGGUUGAGGACUCAGUUAUUAAGACUGCAUUUCCCCUUCAGACACCUUAGGUUGUUUUCUUGUGCUUCUGACCCACUGGUUAUUCAUGAGGGUUCCUAUAGCACCACCCUCAGACAUGAUUAAUUUGUUAAAAUGGCUCAUAAAACUCAGGAAAAUAUCUACUUAUGUUUAUUGGUUUAUUGUAAAAGAAAUUACAAAGCAUACAGAUAAAAACAUGCUUAAGGGAAGGCAUGUGGCAAAGCAGAGAGAGCUUCCAUGCCCUCUUCUUGCACCCCAGCCUCCAAGAACCUUCACAUGUUUGACUAUCCAGAAGCUCAUUGGACCCUGUCCUUUUGGGUUUUUAUGGUGGCUUCAAUAUGUAGGCAUUGCUCAUUAAAUUAUUGACCAUUGGUGAUUCAACCCUCCAAUCCUGACUUGGUUUCUCUCAUGCCUAGGUUCAAUCCUGAAGCUACCUUGGGACCACCAGCUAUCAAUCAACUCAUGAGCAUACAAAAAGACAUUUGUCACAUUGAAAAUUUCAAGGAUUUUAGGAGUUGUAUACCAAGAAACUGGACUAAGAUCAAAUAUAGUUUUCACAAUAUUAUAUUGAAGCAUUUUUUUAUUGAUACAUUUGAUAUGAUUCAUUCACAGAAUGGUAAUGUGGCAUAGGCUUAUGGCAGUCUAUAAAAAACAUCUCAUCCUGCCCUCUAAAAUUCCACAUGUAAGAAUGGGAACAAGAGUAAUUUUUAGAAAUUUGCUUAAUUUCACACAUCUCAUGCAUGUCAUAAUUUCUGGAAAAGUUUUCUCCUUGGAAAGUCUUACCUGACUUUCUUUAAAAUCCGAUAGUAUGUCCAAUGGUCUCACCUUGCUUUCUCAAAAACUUGUUAUUUGAUUUACACUCUGCUCAAGAUUUCCUGAAACACAAGCACACAUAGCAGAGUCCUCACUCUCCACCUUUGAACUCAGUACUCAGCAUGGCUAAGGAAAAUAAACAAAUAAAACUGAAUAGCGUAUUCUUCACUCUGGCUGGGAAGUCACUACAUGCAUUUUUAUAUAACAUGUAUAAGACUGCAUACAUAAACUAGUUCACUGAUAUUCAGAUCAUGUAAAAAUGUCAAAUAAAUUCCCCUCUGGUGUAUUUUCAAUUUAAAACAAAUUCAAAAAAAUUUGAUUUGCAUUAGUCUAGUUUUUCUUGGAGUCUGGCUUGG
This 1475-nucleotide long non-coding RNA is filed under the name Marmota monax (woodchuck). The record is from RNAcentral. Lineage: Eukaryota; Metazoa; Chordata; Mammalia; Rodentia; Sciuridae.